RNAcentral lists this ribosomal RNA (253 nucleotides) under uncultured bacterium. RNAcentral's name for it is "partial 16S ribosomal RNA". It matches the Rfam family "Bacterial small subunit ribosomal RNA", at positions 524 to 776 of the family's 1533-position model. The record is from RNAcentral.
UACGAAGGGUGCAAGCGUUGUUCGGAUUUAUUGGGCGUAAAGCGCGCGUAGGCGGACCUGUAAGUCAGAUGUGAAAUCUCGGGGCUCAACCCCGAAACUGCGUCUGAAACUGCAGGUCUAGAAUCUUGGAGGGGGAAGGGGAAUUUCGCAUGUAGGGGUAAAAUCCGUAGAUAUGCGAAGGAACACCAGAGGCGAAGGCGCCUUCCUAGACAAGUAUUGACGCUGAGGCGCGAAAGCGUGGGGAUCAAACAGG